GCAGAGCACAACAAUGGCGUCAAACUUUCUAGUUUUCACUCUCCACUCCGAUUACUGUGAUUUCUUUAGGCAUUCUGAGGACUCCUCAAAAUCCCUUUCGGCAAAGAUUUUACAUGGGGAAACCAUGUCCAAAAGAGUUGAAAUGUGAUGUUGAGGUGACUAUUAAGUCUAUUUUGAUUAUGUUCAUUUUAUUUAAUGAGAAGCUAGUGCUGCACUUGUUACGGCAGGUAGUUUGAAAGCUAAAUGUGUAGUGUAAAUGUUAUAAUAACAUUUAAAUUAUUUGGGAU
Molecule: long non-coding RNA, 287 nt
Organism: Humulus lupulus (European hop)
Lineage: Eukaryota; Viridiplantae; Streptophyta; Magnoliopsida; Rosales; Cannabaceae
Exons: 3
Source: RefSeq, a predicted model, not a curated record